AUGUUAGGAUCGGCUGGCUCAUCCUCAUCAUCCGAAAACAAAACAGAGACAAAACAGAUUUGUUUCAAUGAAGUAUCUAAUCAUACUGAAAUUGAUGUCGAAGACACGAUCAUUCACAUCAAUUGAAGCAGGCAGGAAGGGCACGGAAGCUACAGUUUAACGAAUGCAAUGCAAGCAAGGUAG
RNAcentral lists this ribosomal RNA (183 nucleotides) under Triticum aestivum (bread wheat). RNAcentral's name for it is "partial small subunit ribosomal RNA". The record is from RNAcentral. Lineage: Eukaryota; Viridiplantae; Streptophyta; Magnoliopsida; Poales; Poaceae.